RNAcentral lists this ribosomal RNA (463 nucleotides) under uncultured bacterium. RNAcentral's name for it is "bacterial SSU rRNA". It matches the Rfam family "Bacterial small subunit ribosomal RNA", at positions 331 to 792 of the family's 1533-position model. The record is from RNAcentral.
CCAGACUCCUACGGGAGGCAGCAGUGAGGAAUAUUGGUCAAUGGUCGGGAGACUGAACCAGCCAAGCCGCGUGAGGGAUGAAGGUACAGAGUAUCGUAAACCUCUUUUGUCAGGGAACAAAGGCGGGGACGUGUCCCCGGAUGAGUGUACCUGAAGAAAAAGCAUCGGCUAACUCCGUGCCAGCAGCCGCGGUAAUACGGAGGAUGCGAGCGUUAUCCGGAUUUAUUGGGUUUAAAGGGUGCGUAGGCGGGCUUUUAAGUCAGGGGUAAAAAUUCGGGGCUCAACCCCGUCCGGCCGUUGAAACUGGGGGCCUUGAGUGGGCGAGAAGAAGGCGGAAUGCGUGGUGUAGCGGUGAAAUGCAUAGAUAUCACGCAGAACCCCGAUUGCGAAGGCAGCUUACUAAACUGCCACUGACAUUGAUGCUCGAAAGUGUGGGUAUCAAACAGGAUUAGAUACCCCUGUA